UGGGGAAUAUUGCACAAUGGGGGGAACCCUGAUGCAGCCAUGCCGCGUGAAUGAAGAAGGCCUUCGGGUUGUAAAGUUCUUUCGGUGACGAGGAAGGUUGAUAGGUUAAUAGCCUAUCAAAUUGACGUUAAUCACAGAAGAAGCACCGGCUAACUCCGUGCCAGCAGCCGCGGUAAUACGGGGGGUGCGAGCGUUAAUCGGAAUAACUGGGCGUAAAGGGCACGCAGGCGGUGACUUAAGUGAGAUGUGAAAGCCCCGAGCUUAACUUGGGAAUUGCAUUUCAUACUGGGUCGCUAGAGUACUUUAGGGAGGGGUAGGAUUCCACGUGUAGCGGUGAAAUGCGUAGAGAUGUGGAGGAAUACCGAAGGCGAAGGCAGCCCCUUGGGAAUGUACUGACGCUCAUGUGCGAAAGCGUGGGGAGCAAACAGGAUUAGAUACCCUGGUAGUCCACGCUGUAAACGAUGUCGAUUUGGGGAUUGGGCUUUAAGCUUGGUGCCCGUAGCUAACGUGAUAAAUCGACCGCCUGGGGAGUACGGCCGCAAGGUUA
RNAcentral lists this ribosomal RNA (547 nucleotides) under uncultured bacterium. RNAcentral's name for it is "bacterial SSU rRNA". It matches the Rfam family "Bacterial small subunit ribosomal RNA", at positions 355 to 896 of the family's 1533-position model. The record is from RNAcentral.